RNAcentral lists this ribosomal RNA (80 nucleotides) under uncultured bacterium. RNAcentral's name for it is "partial 16S ribosomal RNA". It matches the Rfam family "Bacterial small subunit ribosomal RNA", at positions 355 to 434 of the family's 1533-position model. The record is from RNAcentral.
UGGGGAAUAUUGCACAAUGGACGAAAGUCUGAUGCAGCAACGCCGCGUGGAGGAUGACACAUUUCGGUGCGUAAACUCCU